GCUUCCGUAGCUCAGUUGGUUAGAGCUUCGUACUAAUAAACCUGGUCCAACGACCAGAUCUGUUAGUGAUGCGGAGGCCGCAGGUUCAAGCCCUGCCGGGAGCA
This is a non-coding RNA of Cladobotryum mycophilum, 104 nucleotides long. NCBI's taxonomy places the organism in Eukaryota, Fungi, Ascomycota, Sordariomycetes, Hypocreales, Hypocreaceae. The record is from the annotation of a GenBank genome assembly.